UGCUCGGUAGCUCAACGGUGGAGCAUCCGGCUGUUAACCGGAGGGUUGUAGGUUCGAAUCCUACCCGGGGAGCAA
This 75-nucleotide transfer RNA is filed under the name Candidatus Atribacteria bacterium. Its description in RNAcentral is "tRNA-Asn". It matches the Rfam family "tRNA". Rfam says of the family: Transfer RNA (tRNA) molecules are approximately 80 nucleotides in length. Their secondary structure includes four short double-helical elements and three loops (D, anti-codon, and T loops). The record is from RNAcentral. Lineage: Bacteria; Pseudomonadati; Atribacterota; Atribacteria.